This 253-nucleotide ribosomal RNA is filed under the name uncultured prokaryote. Its description in RNAcentral is "partial 16S ribosomal RNA". It matches the Rfam family "Bacterial small subunit ribosomal RNA", at positions 524 to 776 of the family's 1533-position model. The record is from RNAcentral.
GACAGAGGAUGCAAGCGUUAUCCGGAAUGAUUGGGCGUAAAGCGUCUGUAGGUGGCUUUUUAAGUCUGCCGUCAAAUCCCAGGGCUCAACCCUGGACAGGCGGUGGAAACUACCAAGCUAGAGUACGGUAGGGGCAGAGGGAAUUCCGGGUGUAGUGGUGAAAUGCGUAGAGAUCCGGAGGAACACCAGUGGCGAAAGCGGCCACCUGGACUGCACCUGACGCUGAAACGCGAAAGCUAGGGGAGCGAACGGG